This is a non-coding RNA of Rattus norvegicus (Norway rat), 5267 nucleotides long. The record is from RefSeq and is a predicted model, not a curated record. NCBI's taxonomy places the organism in Eukaryota, Metazoa, Chordata, Mammalia, Rodentia, Muridae.
GCCCAGAGGCCUUAUACAGUUUCCUCUUGGGCCAGGGAUGUGGGCAUUGGUGAGCAGUGUUGGUGGUCUCUUCCGCUCUGCAGCCUCAGGAGUGCCCACCUGACCAGGCGGUUGGGUCUCUCUCUCACCGGGUCUGGGAGCAGAGAGCUGCUGCGGGCCGGGAUCCGCGGGUGUGGGACUUCCGGUAAACACAGACCGUGCCUCCUAGAGAAAUUCUGCUUCCGUGUCCCAAGCUCACCAGGCAGCUUUCUUGCAGCAGAAAGUUUGGUCUUACCUGUGGUCCCGAGGCUCAGGUUCGCUCGUGGGGUGCUGCCCAGGGGCUCUCUGCAGCGGCAGCAACCAGGGAGACCUGUGCCGCCCCUUCCCGGUGCUUGUUUUUUGAAAAUAGCAGGAAACUAAUCUUCUUUUGUCUUGCUUUCCAUCACUGGCUGGCCAAGCAUGGUUUUGCAGCAGAAUAUUUUCUUUGCUUACUUAAUUAGCUGCAUCUUAUUAGCCACUGGAUUUUUAAAAUAUUUAACAUCCUUUUAUAAUUCAUAUCUUUUUCAUUUCUUUUGGAUCGGCCACCGGAAGUCAAAUAUUAGAGGAAAUGUUUAAGUUCCACAAAAUGAAAUAUUCCUUUCCUUUAAAAAAGUGGUCAUAAUACUUUGAUACUAUAUUCUUGUUUUAACUUUAUGACAUUCAUGUUUGUAUCUUAAGGUCUUUGACCCAUUUGGAGCCUGUAAAAGUAUAUGAUAGAUAUAAAAUGACUAGAUUGUCUUUUACUAAAUUUACAGCCAAACCUGUGCCUAAAACUCCUUUUCCAAUGCCUUUCUUCUACUUUUUUCCAAUAUCACAUUCUCUGAGUCAUUAUUAGACAUCGCACAAAAAUUAAAUGUACAAAGAGUCAUUUUAGAAGUUAGUAUCUUUGACUUCUACACAUUAGCUCUAUAAAAAUCAGGUCUAAUAUUGACUUGUAUUGUUAGAUGAAGCGUCUUUUGUGUUUUUUGGAAACUGAUUUCUUGUUCCUUAUACUAAGAAAUUAGAUCAAUGUAACCAGAGCAUUUGAUCCAUCUGUGACUUCCUUUGUGUGCUGUUUCCUGAAUCAUCUCUUUGAUGAUUCCGUUUAGACCUAUUUAAUCUCUGCACAUGUUUGGGGCCUUUUACAAACCCUUCCUGGAUUCCCAGGAUGCAGAUGUUUUCUACCCUGUUAGCAACUUUACUUUUCAUUCUACAAGAGCAACAAUUUAAAUUCUAUUAGUCACAUUCUGACUCUCAGUGAUUACUCUUUCACAAUUUUGUGUCUUGGUCUCUGAUUUCUCCAACUAUUCAUCCACUUCUUUUCUCCAUGUGCUUCUCUAGUUUGCCCUCCAGUGAGGACCGUGUAUCCUUGCAUUUCCAUGAAUCUCAGAUAGAGUAGCUCACUCUGCUUGUGGAGAGACCCAUGCACUCUGCUGCACUGUGGAACAGGUCAGCUAGAGGAACACUAUGGUGUUGCCUCUCAGGCCACGGCAGUGGGGGUGCAUGGCCCACACUCAGUAGUCAAAGAUGAAUUUUGCAUAAUUUCCAAGUGAGACUCUUAUUUUAAAAGUUCUUAAAAUAUAAAGGUUAUGUAACUUCCUUUUAAAGCUUAAUUCAUGGUUGUAACUUUGGAAUAUAAUAUAUCAUGGCUGUUGUCUUUGUUUAGUGGCAUUUUCUGUUGGAUUCUUAUUGAUGACACUUAAAUUCUUGCAGAUUAAAUAGUGGACUGUUGUGGAAACACUGGAUAAUCUGCUUACUUUGUGUUGAGUUUAUAAGUAUGUGAAACGUACUUACAUUUUACCAGAAGCCAUAGCUAUGGGUGCUAGGAUCUGAAAAUAUCUGUAUGGGCUGUGUAUUAGGUAAAGAUGUUGAUGGUUAUUGGUCAGAUAAGGAAAAUUUAUUGGUGGGGUUGGUGUGGUGCUGCUUGUAUUUAAAUGCUCCCUACAUACUGGCUCCCAAGACCCCGAAGCCCUGAGGAACAGAUCCUCAAGUACCCCAAGUGAUGCUUUGUAAACUUUGCUUCUUAGUUUAACUCAUCAAAAAUGGAUAGAGUCUGUGAUUAGGCAAUAGAAGAAGAAAGGUGAGAUUGAGGAUGUAGUGGAGGGUCUCAAGAGAGAGGAGAAUGGGGAACAAGAGAGGAGACCAAGGGAGGAGGAAACCACCAUGUGAGGAGAUGGACCCUGAGCAUAUGGCCUGGAAAAACAGCAAGUAACAAGGGACAUUAUGGCAUGGAAAUAGGUUAGUAUAGCUGUAAACCUGCCCAAUUAGGCUUAUGACUUGUAAAUAAAGUACCUGGAUUGUGUGUCUUUUAUUUGGACUAGUUAGAGUGUUUAAUUCCUUUUAUAAUUGGUGCCUUUCACCCUGAGAUUAAGUCUCAUGCUCUACUGAAAUGAAGUUAGAUAUUGUACUGUGUGUUUCUGGUGGUGCAAUAACUUUGCUGUUUUUCAUAGAGCAUUGAGGUGUUUCAAUAUUUGUGAAAAAGAGGCAGUGAGUAGUUUUUUUUUAACUAUGUGCUACUGCAGUGUACACAGAAUAGCUUUGUUUGGAAUUAGCUAAAGUGAUAGGUUUGGGUCUUGCUUUACUAACAGUGUAGUUUGUAGCAGAAAAGUUUCUAUAAAUGCACACAUCAUACUUAACCUAAUAGUAUUAUCCAGAGCAAUGACCAAUUUCUUUAAUAUAUUCAUCCAUUAUUAAUUGACUUCUUUAUGGUUCAGGUGCCGGGCACAUUUAUACAUCUGGGUGAGAUUGCAAAUUUUGUUUGUAUAUUACAAAUGCCGGUAAGCUGUUUUUCUAUCGAAACUGGAAUUAUGUUCUGUAAAGCAGUUACUACUGACAAAAAUUGAGCUCAGGUUUUUUAGUUGAAGGUGCACUUGUUUCAUGACAAGUAGAAAAUAAUGCUGUUAGACUGUUUUUACCUGUGCGUAAAAGAAAAACUUUAAUGUUUAAGAUAAAGUGUCAUUAUAGUAUAUAAAAAUGUUCAUAUAAUGUACAUAUAUUUGUGUGUGUGUGUGUGUGUGUGUGUGUGUGUGCGCUCGCACAUGUAUGUUUGAUUGUAGUGUAUAGAUGAGAUCAUCAAGCUAACUGACUUAGUUUCUUGAUAUGGGAAACAGGAAACCAAAUUUUCUAAAAAUGAUUAGUAAGUUUUUGUUUAAUCAAAUGGCUGGCAGAAACUUGAAAUUUCUUUAACAUGUUAUUUUUAAGUUCUAUAGAAAGUUCUUUUAGGAAAGAAAAAAUAACCAUUCCAAGAAACUUCUUUUCUGUUUUUCCUGUUAUAGUGAGCUGCAUAGUUCUCCUAAGCAAGGAGGUGGACUUCAUCCUCCUUACCACUUUCACCCUUGCCUACCCCAGGGACUGUCUGAAAAGACCUAAUAUCAGAUUCAUCAGUGAGUAAGAAUCCCGAUUCUACGCAAAGAAAUUGAAUUGGUUCUGUUUUUUUCAAGAAAUGAAAUUGCUUCUUGUGGUUAUGAAGGCAGGUCCAUUAAUGAACAUAAGAGGAAGGACCAUGGAAAGGAAUAUAUCUCUUACAUAUUCACAGAAGAUUAUGCCAGCAGGAAUACUGCGUAUAAGACCGAAAUUUCACUGGAAGAACCUGACUGAGGAAGUGAAAAGGAAAAGAUGGGAAAUAGGAAAACAUUUGAAAAUAAGGCUGUUGACAGGCUGGAGAGGAAGGAGGAGAUUGAAAAUUUAAAUUGUGCUACCUGAAACAAUGUAUUUUCUUGGAUACAAAUAUGUCUUUGCCUAUUUAAAAAAGUACUAGUUACUAUGAGGUAUGAUUUAUCCAUGUCAGUUAUGGUACAAUAUGCUUUAGGAAUUUAAUUCCUGGGGACUGUAAUUGAAAGUUAGUGGUAUGGUUAUUUAAAAACUCUUUAAAAACAAUUUAAAGGAGAUAAUUUCUCACUGUAAUUGUGUACUUUUCUCCAUUUCCAUUGCUUAUGUAGAUACGUAUUACUUCUUACCAUCUUUUAAAUGAUGUUUAGUUACUUAUAAUAGUUUUUCUUUAUGUGAGCAUAGUUAUAAAUACACGUGAUAGUAUAAAAUAAUACAAAGAAUAGUGUACUCUACCUUACUUAUCUGUUAGUAAAAACUCAUUUGUGUGUGUGUGUGUGUGUGUGUGUGUACUUUAAAUGUGAGUGAGGCAUGUGCCUUGAGAGUGUGGUGGUUGCCAUGGCAACAGAAGCAAGCAGGUCUUUGUUACCUAAGGAUGAUGUCAUUGCUGGAUUCAGAGGCUAGCUGUAAACCACUUCUGAUGAUAACAUACCUCCCUUUUUCUUAUCAUAGAGAGAAGAAAAAAGGGAAACAGGGGAAGCCAAUGCUAAAAGGGAAAUCGGGGCUGUAGACCUCUUAAACUGCUCCCUGCUGUCUAGGAGCAUUAUCAGAUUUAGGGUGUAGCUGACUUUCACCAUCCGGGCCCACUUGAUAGUUGUGCAAAAGGAACUGUUUGACUUUUUGGUUAGAAAAUUUUGAAUUUUUCUUUGAAGGAAUGUGGAAACAAGAUUGAUGAGGCAGGGAGGAAAUAGUAGGUCCAGGAAAAUGGGGGGCAUUAAGAAGGGCAGUAUCCUAUUUCCAUGUAGGGUUUUGAAAAACCCAGGAAUUGGAGGCCUCAUGUUGUUCCCUGCAUUUCUGGAUGUCUGAUUGCAGCUAAUGGAAUGUAUUUCUUACUGCCCCAGAUUCGUUGACAUAGAAACAGCAUUCUUCCUGGUGAAACAGACAAAGACCACCUCCUUUAGCUGUCAGGACAUCUAGUCCCUGUCAGUUCUGAAGCACAACUGCUGCCAAAGAAUCGAUCUUUUUCUUGAUGAUGAGCAUGGUUUCAUACAUUCCUUGGAAACAGUUGCAAGCUGGGAUAAGAACUUCUGGUAUAGGGUUAGGGAAGUCUUCGGUCCUGCUGUUCCAGUGCCAGCACCUGUAGCUACUCCUGCAGCAACCAGGAAUGGCACAACCUGCAGUGCCCUCUUAUGCUGGACAGGUAUGCUACAGGUACAAAGGAGGGUCCCAGUUGGUGACCUAAAUUUCCAAAUGUUGGUAUCAGGAACUGCUUUUGCCUCCAGCAAUGAUGUCAUCUGGUCACCUGAGCAUCUGUUGUCAAGGCAACGGUCAUCCAUUUCCAGCAUACAUUUCAUGUUACAGUUACACCACAUUUCACAUAAAAGGCAGAUCCUUUCUGCCCUCUUCCACUUGUCUCUCCUCUCUUCCCUUUUUCUCCUCUCUUUCUCUCCUACCUCUCUUCACCCCUUGGCCUUUGUCUCUACCAUUCCAAUAAACCUCUCCAC